RNAcentral lists this long non-coding RNA (360 nucleotides) under Lathyrus oleraceus (garden pea). RNAcentral describes it as "Pisum sativum (pea) long non-coding RNA (PSAT_LNC036795)". Lineage: Eukaryota; Viridiplantae; Streptophyta; Magnoliopsida; Fabales; Fabaceae. The record is from RNAcentral.
UAAUCAAAUUCAAAUUCAUUUAAUUGCUUCCUGAUUCAAAGUCAAAAAGAAUAUCAAAACAAUUAACACUAUUUAAUUCUAAUUCUCUUAUAAAUUGGAAUUAAAAUUCAUCAUAAAAAGGAGGAGAAAAACAAGAAAUAAAAGAGAACAAGAAGUUGGAGUCGGAAGCCUUAUCACAACCUCGUUACGAUUUUGGCCGGAGACCCACACGAUCGUUCCAUCUUGCAAUAUUGUACCUCGACGCCAAUCGAACCCACGAAAAUGUAAUAGAUCUGGCUACCGCAUCACUUGACAUCGCUCCAAGCUCGCCAUGAUUGUUCCGCAGAUACCUAUCGAUAAUUUCUUUUCUUUUCCUGAUUC